CUUGAUUAGGGUUUAGCUUAAUCUAUUUAUUUAGGUUUAGGGUAUAUUGGGAUUAGUGUUUAGUGACUAGAAUGUAGGGUUUAGUAUUUAGAAGGUGAGGGGAUAUGGUUGGGGUGAGCAUUAACUUCUUUCAUGCAAUCAUAGAUAUCUUAUAGUUUCACCAAUAUGUACUAUGUUAUUUGUUUUGUUUCAUUCUAUUUGGGUUUUGUGUUUAUAUUUGGAUUUAAGGUUUAUAUUUGAGUUAGGGUUUAGUGAUUAGAGUUUAGGGUUUAGAUUUACUAGGUAAAUGUUUGGGUAUAGUAAACCAUAUUAUAUACAUUCUAUUUGGGUUUAUAUUUUCUUGAUUAAGGUUUAGCUUAAUCUAUUUAUUUCAAGUAAAAUGUGCUUUCAAGUGUUUAAU
RNAcentral lists this long non-coding RNA (400 nucleotides) under Brassica napus (rape). RNAcentral's name for it is "long non-coding RNA (BNAP_LNC001633)". Lineage: Eukaryota; Viridiplantae; Streptophyta; Magnoliopsida; Brassicales; Brassicaceae. The record is from RNAcentral.